Molecule: non-coding RNA, 72 nt
Filed under: human gut metagenome
Also listed under: 2 other names
Description: S10-Clostridia ribosomal protein leader
Rfam family: S10-Clostridia ribosomal protein leader
Source: RNAcentral
GCGAUGAAGCGGGAGGUUGCGGCAGUUAGCCGGUUUUUCCGUGGAGUAUGUCCGAUUUUAAACCGGGCGAUA